CCUACGGGAGGCAGCAGUGGGGAAUAUUGGACAAUGGGCGAAAGCCUGAUCCAGCCAUGCCGCGUGUGUGAAGAAGGCCUUCGGGUUGUAAAGCACUUUCAGUGGGGAAGAAAGCCUUGGGGCUAAUACCCUCGAGGAAGGACAUCACCCACAGAAGAAGUACCGGCUAACUCCGUGCCAGCAGCCGCGGUAAUACGGAGGGUGCGAGCGUUAAUCGGAAUUACUGGGCGUAAAGCGCGCGUAGGCGGUCUGAUAAGCCGGUUGUGAAAGCCCCGGGCUCAACCUGGGAACGGCAUCCGGAACUGUCAGGCUAGAGUGCAGGAGAGGAAGGUAGAAUUCCCGGUGUAGCGGUGAAAUGCGUAGAGAUCGGGAGGAAUACCAGUGGCGAAGGCGGCCUUCUGGACUGACACUGACGCUGAGGUGCGAAAGCGUGGGUAGCAAACAGGAUUAGAUACCCCAGUAGUC
RNAcentral lists this ribosomal RNA (465 nucleotides) under Vreelandella stevensii. RNAcentral's name for it is "partial 16S ribosomal RNA". It matches the Rfam family "Bacterial small subunit ribosomal RNA", at positions 338 to 795 of the family's 1533-position model. The record is from RNAcentral. Lineage: Bacteria; Pseudomonadati; Pseudomonadota; Gammaproteobacteria; Oceanospirillales; Halomonadaceae.